Molecule: transfer RNA, 72 nt
Filed under: Linophryne bicornis
Lineage: Eukaryota; Metazoa; Chordata; Actinopteri; Lophiiformes; Linophrynidae
Also listed under: 2 other names
Description: tRNA-His
Rfam family: tRNA
About the family: Transfer RNA (tRNA) molecules are approximately 80 nucleotides in length. Their secondary structure includes four short double-helical elements and three loops (D, anti-codon, and T loops). Further hydrogen bonds mediate the characteristic L-shaped molecular structure. tRNAs have two regions of fundamental functional importance: the anti-codon, which is responsible for specific mRNA codon recognition, and the 3' end, to which the tRNAs corresponding amino acid is attached (by aminoacyl-tRNA synthetases). tRNAs cope with the degeneracy of the genetic code in two manners: having more than one tRNA (with a specific anti-codon) for a particular amino acid; and 'wobble' base-pairing, i.e. permitting non-standard base-pairing at the 3rd anti-codon position.
Source: RNAcentral
GUUGGUAUAGUUUAAGCACAAAGACGUUAGAUCGUGAUUCUAAAAAUGUGGGUGUAAAACCCCUUACCCACC